UGUGUAGGCGGUCGCGCAAGUCUGGUGUGAAAGCUCCACUGCUUAACGGGGAGAGGUCACUGGAAACUGUGCGGCUGGAGUGUGGUAGAGGCGAGCGGAAUUCCUGGUGUAGCGGUGGAAUGUGUAGAUAUCAGGAAGAACAUCUGUGGCGAAGGCGGCUCGCUGGGCCAUCACUGACGCUGAGACACGAAAGCGUGGGGAGCGAACG
This 208-nucleotide ribosomal RNA is filed under the name uncultured bacterium. RNAcentral describes it as "partial 16S ribosomal RNA". It matches the Rfam family "Bacterial small subunit ribosomal RNA", at positions 568 to 774 of the family's 1533-position model. The record is from RNAcentral.